AAGCCAGCCAGUGAGUCUGCUGACCUGAAUUUCUCUGCAGAAAUUCAGAGAAAGCUGGCAAUAGUAAAGCCAUGUUACAAGCGUUAAAGACAUGGAAGUCAUUAAGGUCCCUGAAAAUGGCUGUAAGA
Molecule: small nucleolar RNA, 128 nt
Organism: Myotis lucifugus (little brown bat)
Lineage: Eukaryota; Metazoa; Chordata; Mammalia; Chiroptera; Vespertilionidae
Product: small nucleolar RNA SNORA33
Source: Ensembl